This 253-nucleotide ribosomal RNA is filed under the name uncultured bacterium. Its description in RNAcentral is "partial 16S ribosomal RNA". It matches the Rfam family "Bacterial small subunit ribosomal RNA", at positions 524 to 776 of the family's 1533-position model. The record is from RNAcentral.
UACGUAGGGGGCAAGCGUUGUCCGGAAUUAUUGGGCGUAAAGAGCGCGUAGGCGGUCCGAUAAGUCGGCUGUGAAAGUCAGGGGCUCAACCCUUGAAAGCCGGCCGAUACUGUCGGACUAGAGUCCGGAAGAGGCGAGUGGAAUUCCCGGUGUAGCGGUGAAAUGCGCAGAUAUCAGGAGGAACACCUAUGGCGAAGGCAGCUCGCUGGGACGGUACUGACGCUGAGGCGCGAAAGCGUGGGGAGCGAACAGG